UGGGCACUGACAUUUCCAGGCGGGGGGGCUGCCCGCCAUCUUGGUUUAGGGCAUGAAGACGGAUUCGACCCUAGUGACGCUCGAAGUUUGAAGGGCCGUUGGGGAGUCGGACAGGAUGUUUUCCAAGGAGCCUGGUGGCUGCGGCGGGUUAGGGCAGGCCCCGACUGCCUCGGAGGCCCUGAUCGGCCAUCUUGGCUGCUGUCACUAGAGCCCCUUGCUGGUUUCAUUGAUCGGUUCGGUGUGAGUAGGUCGGUUCUGCUCAGGUGCCUGAUGAGAAAGGAAGAUCGAAGCCUUCAUUGCUGAACUUUUCCAUCCUCUGUUGGAAGGAGGAAGGGACCAGGUGAAACCCCGCUGCAGCUGCCAUGCCAACACUUAAACUCUGUGUACUGCAAGCCACCAUCACAUCAGAGAAGAUGCACCAGGCACAAGACCAUGAGUACAUCGGAUCCAAAGAGAGUAAGCUGGGAGUAUAAAGCAGAAUGGAACCAAAUUCAUCCACUGCAGUUGACGGUUACACUAGGGUCUGAAUUUGGCCCAGGGCAUUUAACCACCUUCACCAUGUUCCUGUGAUACAGCUUUUAAAUAUUUUAUAGGAUUUGGAUCUGUUGUGAUUUUUUUUUUUUUGUU
Malaclemys terrapin pileata is the source of this 627-nucleotide long non-coding RNA. RefSeq lists it as uncharacterized. The record is from RefSeq and is a predicted model, not a curated record. NCBI's taxonomy places the organism in Eukaryota, Metazoa, Chordata, Testudines, Emydidae. The transcript is spliced from 4 exons.